Molecule: ribosomal RNA, 480 nt
Filed under: Bifidobacterium pseudolongum subsp. pseudolongum
Lineage: Bacteria; Bacillati; Actinomycetota; Actinomycetes; Bifidobacteriales; Bifidobacteriaceae
Description: bacterial SSU rRNA
Rfam family: Bacterial small subunit ribosomal RNA
Source: RNAcentral
AAACUGGCGCGUGCUUAAACAUGCAAGUCGAACGGGUAUUCCCUGGCAGCUUGCUGCCGGGGUGAGAGUGGCGAACGGGUGAGUAAUGCGUGACCGACCUGCCCCAUGCACCGGAAUAGCUCCUGGAAACGGGUGGUAAUGCCGGAUGUUCCACAUGAGCGCAUGCGAGUGUGGGAAAGGCUUUUGCGGCAUGGGAUGGGGUCGCGUCCUAUCAGCUUGUUGGUGGGGUAACGGCCUACCAAGGCGUUGACGGGUAGCCGGCCUGAGAGGGCGACCGGCCACAUUGGGACUGAGAUACGGCCCAGACUCCUACGGGAGGCAGCAGUGGGGAAUAUUGCACAAUGGGCGCAAGCCUGAUGCAGCGACGCCGCGUGCGGGAUGGAGGCCUUCGGGUUGUAAACCGCUUUUGUUCAAGGGCAAGGCACGGUUUCGGCCGUGUUGAGUGGAUUGUUCGAAUAAGCACCGGCUAACUACGUGCCA